AGUGGCGGACGGGUGAGUAACACGUAGGCAACCUGCCCAGAAGCGGGGGACAACAUUUGGAAACAAGUGCUAAUACCGCAUAACAACGAAAACCACAUGAUUUUCGUUUAAAAGAUGGUUUCGGCUAUCACUUCUGGAUGGGCCUGCGGCGCAUUAGCUUGUUGGUGAGGUAACGGCUCACCAAGGCUGUGAUGCGUAGCCGAGUUGAGAGACUGAUCGGCCACAAUGGAACUGAGACACGGUCCAUACUCC
Molecule: ribosomal RNA, 252 nt
Filed under: uncultured Lactobacillus sp.
Lineage: Bacteria; Bacillati; Bacillota; Bacilli; Lactobacillales; Lactobacillaceae
Description: partial 16S ribosomal RNA
Rfam family: Bacterial small subunit ribosomal RNA
Source: RNAcentral